UAGCUCAGCUGGUAGAGCAACUGAUUUGUAAUCAGUGGGUCGGGAGUUCGAGUCUCUC
Molecule: transfer RNA, 58 nt
Filed under: Paracoccaceae bacterium
Lineage: Bacteria; Pseudomonadati; Pseudomonadota; Alphaproteobacteria; Rhodobacterales; Paracoccaceae
Description: Rhodobacteraceae bacterium (freshwater metagenome) tRNA-Thr
Rfam family: tRNA
About the family: Transfer RNA (tRNA) molecules are approximately 80 nucleotides in length. Their secondary structure includes four short double-helical elements and three loops (D, anti-codon, and T loops).
Source: RNAcentral